UUCCGUAGGGGGCCUGCGGAGGGAUCAUUACCGAGUUUACAACUCCCAAACCCAAUGUGAACGUUACCAAACUGUUGCCUCGGCGGGAUCUCUGCCCCGGGUGCGUCGCAGCCCCGGACCAAGGCGCCCGCCGGAGGACCAACCUAAAACUCUUAUUGUAUACCCCCUCGCGGGUUUUUUUAUAAUCUGAGCCUUCUCGGCGCCUCUCGUAGGCGUUUCGAAAAUGAAUCAAAACUUUCAACAACGGAUCUCUUGGUUCUGGCAUCGAUGAAGAACGCAGCGAAAUGCGAUAAGUAAUGUGAAUUGCAGAAUUCAGUGAAUCAUCGAAUCUUUGAACGCACAUUGCGCCCGCCAGUAUUCUGGCGGGCAUGCCUGUCCGAGCGUCAUUUCAACCCUCGAACCCCUCCGGGGGGUCGGCGUUGGGGAUCGGCCCUCCCUUAGCGGGUGGCCGUCUCCGAAAUACAGUGGCGGUCUCGCCGCAGCCUCUCCUGCGCAGUAGUUUGCACACUCGCAUCGGGAGCGCGGCGCGUCCACAGCCGUUAAACACCCAACUUCUGAAAUGUGACCUCGGAUCAGGUAGAAACCCCAUCCG
This 592-nucleotide ribosomal RNA is filed under the name Trichoderma atroviride. Its description in RNAcentral is "eukaryotic LSU rRNA". The stretch from base 233 to 386 matches the Rfam family "5.8S ribosomal RNA". Lineage: Eukaryota; Fungi; Ascomycota; Sordariomycetes; Hypocreales; Hypocreaceae. The record is from RNAcentral.